This 468-nucleotide ribosomal RNA is filed under the name uncultured bacterium. RNAcentral's name for it is "partial 16S ribosomal RNA". It matches the Rfam family "Bacterial small subunit ribosomal RNA", at positions 28 to 507 of the family's 1533-position model. The record is from RNAcentral.
GACGAACGCUGGCGGCGUGCCUAACACAUGCAAGUCGAACGGAAAGGCCCUGCUUUUGUGGGGUGCUCGAGUGGCGAACGGGUGAGUAACACGUGAGUAACCUGCCCUUGACUUUGGGAUAACUUCAGGAAACUGGGGCUAAUACCGGAUAGGAGCUCCUGCUGCAUGGUGGGGGUUGGAAAGUUUCGGCGGUUGGGGAUGGACUCGCGGCUUAUCAGCUUGUUGGUGGGGUAGUGGCUUACCAAGGCUUUGACGGGUAGCCGGCCUGAGAGGGUGACCGGCCACAAUGGGACUGAGAUACGGCGCAGACUCGUACGGGAGGCAGCAGUGGGGAGUAUUGCACAGUGGGCGGAAGCCAGAUACAGCAACGCCGCGUGCGGGAUGGCGGCCUGCUGGUUGUAAACCGCUGUCGCCUGUGACGAAGCGGGAGUGACGGUAAUGGGUAAAGAAGCACCGGCUAACUACGUG